AACGAACGCUGGCGGCAUGCCUAACACAUGCAAGUCGAACGAACCCUUCGGGGUUAGUGGCGCACGGGUGCGUAACGCGUGGGGAUCUGCCCAAAGGUUCGGAAUAACUCAGAGAAAUUUGAGCUAAUACCGGAUAAUGUCUUCGGACCAAAGAUUUAUUGCCUUUGGAUGAACCCGCGUAGGAUUAGCUUGUUGGUGGGGUAGAGGCCUACCAAGGCGACGAUCCUUAGCUGGUCUGAGAGGAUGAUCAGCCACACUGGGACUGAGACACGGCCCAGACUCCUACGGGAGGCAGCAGUGGGGAAUAUUGGACAAUGGGCGAAAGCCUGAUCCAGCAAUGCCGCGUGAGUGAUGAAGGCCUUAGGGUUGUAAAGCUCUUUUACCAGGGAUGAUAAUGACAGUACCUGGAGAAUAAGCUCCGGCUAACUCCGUGCCAGCAGCCGCGGUAAAGUCUGUACU
RNAcentral lists this ribosomal RNA (459 nucleotides) under uncultured bacterium. Its description in RNAcentral is "bacterial SSU rRNA". It matches the Rfam family "Bacterial small subunit ribosomal RNA", at positions 29 to 531 of the family's 1533-position model. The record is from RNAcentral.